This 527-nucleotide ribosomal RNA is filed under the name Photobacterium sp. OT286. RNAcentral's name for it is "bacterial SSU rRNA". It matches the Rfam family "Bacterial small subunit ribosomal RNA", at positions 43 to 549 of the family's 1533-position model. Lineage: Bacteria; Pseudomonadati; Pseudomonadota; Gammaproteobacteria; Vibrionales; Vibrionaceae. The record is from RNAcentral.
CAGGCCUAACACAUGCAAGUCGAGCGGCAGCGACUUAACUGAACCUUCGGGGAACGUUAAGGGCGGCGAGCGGCGGACGGGUGAGUAAUGCCUGGGAAUAUGCCCUGAUGUGGGGGAUAACUAUUGGAAACGAUAGCUAAUACCGCAUAAUCUCUUCGGAGCAAAGAGGGGGACCUUCGGGCCUCUCGCGUCAGGAUUAGCCCAGGUGGGAUUAGCUUGUUGGUGAGGUAAUGGCUCACCAAGGCAACGAUCCCUAGCUGGUCUGAGAGGAUGAUCAGCCACACUGGAACUGAGACACGGUCCAGACUCCUACGGGAGGCAGCAGUGGGGAAUAUUGCACAAUGGGGGAAACCCUGAUGCAGCCAUGCCGCGUGUAUGAAGAAGGCCUUCGGGUUGUAAAGUACUUUCAGUAGGGAGGAAGGCAGUGUCGUUAAUAGCGGCAUUGUUUGACGUUACCUACAGAAGAAGCACCGGCUAACUCCGUGCCAGCAGCCGCGGUAAUACGGAGGGUGCGAGCGUUAAUCGGA